GCAUAUCAAUAAGCGGAGGAAAAGAAACUAACAAGGAUUCCCCUAGUAACUGCGAGUGAACCGGGAAGAGCUCAAAUUUUGAAUCUGGCGGUCUUUAGGUCGUCCGAGUUGUAAUCUAGAGAAGCGUCUUCCGCGCUGGACCGUGUAUAAGUUUCCUGGAAAGGAACGUCGUAGAGGGUGAAAAUCCCGUCUUUGACACGGACUCCCAGGGCUAUGUGAUGCGCUCUCGACGAGUCGAGUUGUUUGGGAAUGCAGCUCAAAUAGGGUGGUAAAUUCCAUCUAAAGCUAAAUACAGGCGAGAGACCGAUAGCGAACAAGUACCGUGAGGGAAAGAUGAAAAGAACUUUGGAAAGAGAGUUAAACAGUACGUGAAAUUGCUGAAAGGGAAACGCUUGAUGUCAGUCGCGUCGGCCGGGGAUCAGCCUUGCUUAACUGCGAGGCGUACUUCCUGGUAGACGGGUCAGCAUCAGUUUUGACCGUCGGAAAAGGGCUCGAGUAAUGUGGCACUCUUUCGGGAGUGUGUBAUAGACUUGGGUCGCAAUAUGAUGGUUGGGACUGAGGAACUCAGCACGGCCUUAGGGUAUCGGGGCUUUGGCCUACGUUCGCGUGCUUAGGAUGCUGGCAUAAUG
This 629-nucleotide ribosomal RNA is filed under the name Rhizopogon flavofibrillosus. Its description in RNAcentral is "LSU rRNA". It matches the Rfam family "Eukaryotic large subunit ribosomal RNA", at positions 38 to 636 of the family's 3401-position model. Lineage: Eukaryota; Fungi; Basidiomycota; Agaricomycetes; Boletales; Rhizopogonaceae. The record is from RNAcentral.